Molecule: long non-coding RNA, 722 nt
Filed under: Nicotiana benthamiana
Lineage: Eukaryota; Viridiplantae; Streptophyta; Magnoliopsida; Solanales; Solanaceae
Description: long non-coding RNA (NBEN_LNC026778)
Source: RNAcentral
UUGCAUUUAUUCUGUUGCCUUCUCUAAGCAAAAAUUAGGCAUAUCAGUGCAGUAAUUAAAGAAAUAAUGGAGAAAAAGCUAACCAAAACUGAAAAAUACAGCGGCAAUUCAAUUUAUUUUACUAAAAAAGACAGCGACAGAACAUGAAAGAAGCGACGAAGUAGUAAUGUGUUCUUAAAGUAAUAUUGAGGCAAUAAAGCAUAUUGCAUGCUAGAAAAUUCUAGGUUUAUUGAGAAAUCAAGCUAAUAAAUUGCAUAUAAUCAACAUAGAAACCCCAAAUCAACAAAAAACUCCAAAUAAAUAGAGAAACCUAAAAUCCAACAAGAAUACCCAAAACAACACAAAAAUAAAGUGAAAAUCCAUAUGUAAUUUACAAAAUACAAAAUACUUGGUUACCCAAAUAAAUAGAGAAACCUCAAAACCAACAGAGAAUACCCAAAACAACACAAAAAUAAAGUGAAAACCCACAUAUAAUUUACAAAAUACAAAAUACCUGGUUACACAAAAUCGAAAUUGGAGAAGAUGAAAGACAAAUUGCAAAUAAACUGGAGAAGAUGAACACCGUGGAUUUUCUAGCCAAAAAUCCACACUAGGACUGAAGAACACCGGUAAUUUGGUGAGAAGGCAUCGAUUCACAGUCCAAUUUGGUGAGAGAGAGGCAGUGGCUUGGAGACUGUAGAGAGAGAGUGAGAUAGACGGAAAAAAGGUUUAGAUUUUGGCGG